This 445-nucleotide ribosomal RNA is filed under the name uncultured bacterium. RNAcentral's name for it is "bacterial SSU rRNA". It matches the Rfam family "Bacterial small subunit ribosomal RNA", at positions 791 to 1231 of the family's 1533-position model. The record is from RNAcentral.
UAGUCCACGCAGUAAACGAUGUCUAUUAGAAGUUUGUGGCUAUAUGCCGUGGGUUUCAAAGCUAACGCAUUAAAUAGACCGCCUGGGGAGUACGGCCGCAAGGUUAAAACUCAAAUGAAUUGACGGGGGCCCGCACAAGCGGUGGAGCAUGUGGUUUAAUUCGAUGCAACGCGAAGAACCUUACCAUCCCUUGACAUCCAGAGAAUCACCUAGAGAUAGAUGAGUGCCUUCGGGAACUCUGAGACAGGUGCUGCAUGGCUGUCGUCAGCUCGUGUCGUGAGAUGUUGGGUUAAGUCCCGCAACGAGCGCAACCCUUGUCCUUAGUUGCCAGCGCGUAAUGGCGGGAACUCUAGGGAGACUGCCGGGUGACAAACCGGAGGAAGGUGGGGGAUGACGUCAAGUCAUCAUGGCCCUUACGGGGUAGGGGCUACACACGUGCUACAAU